RNAcentral lists this ribosomal RNA (315 nucleotides) under uncultured bacterium. RNAcentral describes it as "bacterial SSU rRNA". It matches the Rfam family "Bacterial small subunit ribosomal RNA", at positions 28 to 263 of the family's 1533-position model. The record is from RNAcentral.
GACGAACGCUUGCGGCGUGCCUAAGAAAUGCAAGUCGAGCGGGAGCAGCAAUGCUCGUAGCGGCGAACGGUCGCGUAACACGUAAGCAACCUGCCCGAAAGACCGGGACAACACUCCGAAAGGGGUGCUAAUACCGGAUGUGCCCAUUCCCUUGCAUGUGGGGAUGAGUAAAACGCGCGAUUAACUUCGCCCUAACCAAGCUGCUUAUGCGGUUCUGUUGAUAACAGCAGGANGUGGAGGCGUUUUGGUUAGGUUGAGGAGAUGUGGCGGCUUUUGGAGGGGCUUGCGGCCUAUCAGAUAGUUGGUGGGUAACGG